GCCAGCAUGGCUUGGUGGUUUGAGCACUGGACUAUAACUCUAGAGACCAGGGUUUGAAUCUCUGCUUCGCUA
Molecule: non-coding RNA, 72 nt
Organism: Phrynosoma platyrhinos (Desert horned lizard)
Lineage: Eukaryota; Metazoa; Chordata; Lepidosauria; Squamata; Phrynosomatidae
Source: the annotation of a GenBank genome assembly